UUUUACUGUCCUUAAGGGCCCUUUAAGGAAAGUCCAUACUGAAGCAUAUAAUUAGAAGCAGGCCAAUCUGUGCGUCGACCUCCCAACUUCCACGCUUCUUUCAUUAUCCCAAACACCGCAGCGGAGCUCCUCUCUCCGAGCGCGGGGAGAGAGAGCGGCCUGGAAACCUUCGCAAAGCCAGUCCUACUGAAGGAGCACAUUUCAUCCAAGGGCCAAAGAGUCAGCGGAGAGUGAAAUGACUGUUUGACUCCUUUCCAUCGCUCGCCUCUUAAGUCACACAAAGCGCGCCGACUCCCAGCCAACUGUGAGGUAUUGUAUAAUCGCCGUGCAGCUCUUAAGAGGCCCGAGAAGAAGGAAGUGGCUGUGGAGGGAAGUGCAGGAAGGUAGAGUAUGUGGAGGGGAGGGUGGACUGGAGAGCGGUCCGACUCUGAGCGGAGACUCUCAGGUCUUUAUAAACCAACAGAUCAUGACAAAGAGUUAAAGUCCGAUAACUUCACAAGGUCGGGUGAAGGGUCAGAGGUUUCUGAAAUCUGCUGCAGAUUCAUUUAUUUCUCAUGAAGAGGGUCCAGAAAGUUUGAACUCCAUCAUCUCGUUGAUAUGAUUUCCUCUGUUUGACAGUCAGAAGAGAUUUCAAAGUUUAGAUUUUUCUCCACCUGCUGCAAACAAGCCCGGCGGACGUCUUUAUCUCCUCUCCCAACAACCUGGAGGAUCGACUUCACCUCCGUCUGGAUCUCCUGCAGCACAGAUAACUUCUCCCUCGGAUGAGAUGCAGAUUUUAACCGUCUGGUCAAACACCCCGAGGGGCGAUCAAAGGUCAGACCAAAGAUCUGUUUGAAGUCCGACUCGUGGUCAGUGAAGGUCUUGUGGACACGAGUGAUUCAUGAAACGAGAACAAGCUCAAAGGGCAAAGUGAGGGACAUGAAUACCCUCUCUGUUUUCACGGGAGCGGAUAUUAACGAUGACGCCUCGCUAAUUAGCAUAAAGAUUCAUCAUCAGGGGAGGACGAGCAGGACUGAGGCGAGGACAAGCAUCAGUGCUGCUUCUGCAAAAACAGUCUGAGAAUAAAGGGUUAAUGUGAACGAGUAAGUGUAUGAAAUGUGUUAUUAGAGAAAUAAUCGAUGAAUAUCAGGCUAAUUAAAUCAUCAUUUUGGUGAAUUCAAAAGCAAAAUUCAAAGCAAAACUGACAGCAAAAGCUCAUAGAAGUUUUUAUUAUUUUGGUAUUUAGUCUUGUAAACGAUGAGCAUUUGUUUUAAAAAGAUGAUUAUCAAGAUGUAAUUUUGGUCCUUCUAAAUUAAUAUGUAUUAAUGUGUUACUUCCAUUAUAACUUUGAGUUUGUGCUGCAUUAUGAAUAAAUCAAAUCAAAUAUUAAUGAAGAUAACUUAAAAAAAAUCACUAAUUUAGACUAAAAAGUUCCAGUUAAAUUCUGAUUUACUUUCAUUAAAUGUAAGUUGCUUUUAUUUCAGCGUGCAUGAUAAUUCAAAGACUGUAUCCUCCUGGAUUUUGUCAUUCCUGCUCCACUUUAACACGCCUCAUUUUAACCGAACUACAGUCUUCAUAAAGUUCAUUCCUCCUUAAAGACUCUGACUGAAACCGCAGGAGGAGGGUCUGUUUUCUGCUCUGAGUUUGGACCGUCUCACUGUGUCGAUGACAGAAAUGUGGUUAAAAAUGAUCGAUGCAGCUCAGACUGAAUGUCACAAUUAUCUUUUUAGAGGAAGUGAAGAAAUAAAGAUAAUUAUCAGGAUAAACGGACGGUUUAAACUGCGGUUAAAGCCACGGAUUCAUCUGUGAGGGGCGAAGAAGAAAAGCACGAAGAAAGAGAAGUAACUCCUGCUGCAGGAGAGCGACCAUCGGAGCAGAUUUAUAAACCCGAGCGCGUUUCCUGUGCAGCACCUGUGCCGAGCGCCGGGCAGAUGACGCCAUAUUGGAUUGAUGCACUUGACUUGUUUCCAUGCAGGCGAAGGUACUGUGAGGACAAACAGUUAAACACACUGAUUCAUCUCCACCCGAGCGCGCUGGCACACACAGCUGUGCCGGCCGGCGAGCUUAUGGCGUUGUCAUCAUACUUCAAUUAUGAAAGGAAACAUAUUAGAGGAUGUAAAAUGUGCUAAACUGGAAAAUGGCCUCCAGCGGGUGUACGGCGGGAGGACGUGAGGUUUGUUCAUUCGUGACAGAUUUAACCUGGACGUGUUUCUGUGGAGCUAAAAGGUACGACUGCAGGUGAAUUUACGCACAAAUAAGAAAAUGUUAUCGAGUCCAAUCCUGCAACAGCGGCGAUAAUAAAACCUGUGAACAUUAUCUGAGACUCUCUGUGAUCUUCAGUCGAGUAAAUUGUUCAUCUGAGCUGCAGAAUUCCCCUAAAAACAAUCCACCGAAUCAGCCAAAGGUCAGAUCUUCACUCAGUCCCAUGUGAUUCGGCAUUUUUCAAGUUUCGUGUAUUUUUAUCGGCACAGAUUUGUUUUCUUUCUGCAUUUUUCCUGCUCUUUUAGGUCAAGAAUUAUUGCUGCUACUGCAGACAUUUUGGCACAAACUCAGGGAGUUUAUCAUCAGAGAGAAGGAGAGAGGAGAGCAAAGCGACUAAAAGAGGAGUAUCUUUGACUAUCCCUAUGUCUCCUCUCAGUCUGACUCCGUCCAAACCACGAUUCUGGGCACCCGGCGACUCCCCCCGCCUCACUAAUCACCACCACGUCUGUGCAGAAGAGGGAAGGUGAGCAGAAAAGAGAUUGGGACUCCAGAUACAAUGCUGCACAGCUCCAUAAAUCAAGCGCUCCCACAGAUUCUCAUGCACACAUCGCUCCGUCUGGCUGCUCGCUACAAGCUGUAAUUACACACCGGCUAGCUGUUGUACGGAGCCGAGGAAUGAGCUACAACAUAAUGCACAAUAAAGCCUGUCAUAUAAAAAAUGGUGUAAAAUAACUGGAUCAACACUGCGUUUUAUGGUCUCCCAGUAAAAUGACACUCAAAUGUACAAAGAGAAGGAUAAAAACAGGGCUGUAAAUGGAUGGAAGUGCAGGGUUUCCUCCCCAAACCCGAGUGU
RNAcentral lists this long non-coding RNA (3034 nucleotides) under Xyrichtys novacula (pearly razorfish). Lineage: Eukaryota; Metazoa; Chordata; Actinopteri; Labriformes; Labridae. The record is from RNAcentral.